This is a long non-coding RNA of Vidua chalybeata, 494 nucleotides long. RefSeq lists it as uncharacterized. The record is from RefSeq and is a predicted model, not a curated record. Lineage: Eukaryota; Metazoa; Chordata; Aves; Passeriformes; Viduidae. The transcript is spliced from 4 exons.
CAAUUAUGCAGUUGUCCAACACCAGCUUUGCAGAUGAACAGAAAAGUGAAUUAAGGUGAUACAGACAAUGUUCAACAGAAAUAAUGUGUUUAGACCAGAAGAAAAUUAUCAUCAAAUACAACAAUCAGUUAACAGAAGUGAUGACUUGCUACAGUAGGGCAAAAUCUGAAGAGGAAACUCACUAUAGAGAUGUCCAUACAUUCUGUCAAAUACUACGUGAUGAUCCAUUCACCAUUCAGAAGUAAAAGGUUCAACUCAAUAACAGUACUUAGAUCUCUCCCUUUUCAUCUCUUUCUGAGAGCUGAGGAUCUUUGACCUGAAGUCAGGACUGACAGUGCAAGGCAGGAUGCCUGUGAACCACCAGUCCUAAGAAACCCUUCUCAAGCCUAGAAGACGAAAGAAGCAAAAGGGGAAAAAAGUCCAAAAAUGGGAAGAAAAUAUGUAAAAUUACUGCUUAUUUAUUUUGAACAAAAGAUGAAUAUUUAAUGUGUAAA